Molecule: ribosomal RNA, 486 nt
Filed under: uncultured bacterium
Lineage: Bacteria
Description: partial 16S ribosomal RNA
Rfam family: Bacterial small subunit ribosomal RNA
Source: RNAcentral
GAUGAACGCUGGCGGCGUGCCUAAUACAUGCAAGUCGAACGCUGGAGAUCUAGCUUGCUAGAUCGAAGGAGUGGCGAACGGGUGAGUAAUACAUAAGCAACCUACCCACGAAGACUGGGAUAAUCUCUGGAAACGGGGACUAAUACCGGAUAGGUAAUCGGAAGGCAUCUUCUGGUUAUUAAAGGUUAAAAACACUGGUUGAUGGGCUUAUGGCGCAUUAGUUAGUUGGUGAGGUAACGGCCCACCAAGACGAUGAUGCGUAGCCGGCCUGAGAGGGUGAACGGCCACAUUGGGACUGAGACACGGCCCAGACUCCUACGGGAGGCAGCAGUAGGGAAUUUUCGGCAAUGGGGGCAACCCUGACCGAGCAACGCCGCGUGAGUGAAGACGGCCUUCGGGUUGUAAAGCUCUGUUGUAAGGGAAGAACGGUAGAUAGAGAAUAUCUAAGUGACGGUACCUUACCAGAAAGCCACGGCUAACUACGUG